AAUAUAAUGUUAUGCGUUCAACAAGGUAGCCCAAUAACCCAAACAACGUAACAGGCGACGCCCCUGACACCCCGGAAGAAAAAAAAAAACACCAACUUAUACGUUUAUGUUAUGCUGCGUUCAAACCGAACGCGUCUGGGGCGUCUAGCGUCUGAUUUACAUGUGGCUACUCAGGCAGGCGCUCGCUCACUCAGUACGCGCUGAAGGCUCUUUGCAAAAUGGCUAAUGUGUUUAACACAUAGACUGUAAAGGUUUAACAGACCAGAAAUAGAAGAUCGUCCAAAUAACCAACAGGUCUGGUGUUUGGGUGCACUUUGGAUUCCCUAGCGCACAGCCUCAACUGAAUGCGCUGCUCCUCUCAGCCACUCACUGAACAGCAGACGCAGAGAGAAGUGCGCCUGCGGCAGCGGCAAGAAAGCAAGAUCUUGCGCUCAUGCGGCAGUAGAGGAGGGUCUCGGAAGCUAGAUCAGGUGUCCCCUCACGGACUGCUAUUUACACACUCAGCAUCUUCCCUGUAGAGGGCGCCACUGAAAUAACGGCUACUCGAGGUCUCGCUUCAGACCCGGCAGGUAAAAAUCUGCAACACACUGCUGCCUGCUUCCU
Megalobrama amblycephala (Wuchang bream) is the source of this 603-nucleotide long non-coding RNA. RefSeq lists it as uncharacterized. The transcript has 3 exons. NCBI's taxonomy places the organism in Eukaryota, Metazoa, Chordata, Actinopteri, Cypriniformes, Xenocyprididae. The record is from RefSeq and is a predicted model, not a curated record.